ACUUAUCAUUAGUCUUUUAAUUUCAGUUCCUAAACUUGUCUAGGUCACCACCCAACAAACUUCUCCUGGGCUAUUAGCUCAGGCGGUUAGAGCGCACCCCUGAUAAGGGUGAGGUCCCUGGUUCAAGUCCAGGAUGGCCCAUUCGUUGUUGGGGGUAUAGCUCAGUUGGUAGAGCGCCUGCUUUGCAAGCAGGAUGUCAGCGGUUCGAGUCCGCUUACCUCCACUGAUCAACUACCUGAUAACUCAAAUUGGAGAUUGUUAUUUGUUAAAUGUGAUUUAGAUGUUGUUCAACUGAAGGAACCUAGCUUCCUAUCACUCCUGAAUUAACUUUAGGCUGAUAAGACGCUGGGCUCACUGGAUGUUCUAAGGGACAUUCAGUUUGUUUCAGCAGAACCUUGACAACUGCAUAGGAAAAUCUAGAAAAAUAAAGCAUCUCAUAGAUGCAUAGAAGUUUUUUCAUUUUUUAAUGAUUAGAUUUUUAUGUUCAAUUCUUGAGUCAGAGCAAAUUUUCUAUUACUUAAUUCACUUAGAGAUAAGUGAUGACUAAUUAAUUUUAGAUAAGUUUAUAGAUUAAUGGUCAAGCUACAA
Molecule: transfer RNA, 588 nt
Filed under: uncultured Prochlorococcus sp.
Lineage: Bacteria; Bacillati; Cyanobacteriota; Cyanophyceae; Synechococcales; Prochlorococcaceae
Description: partial 16S-23S ribosomal RNA intergenic spacer; may also contain 16S ribosomal RNA and 23S ribosomal RNA
Rfam family: tRNA (bases 151-223)
Source: RNAcentral